GAUGAACGCUGGCGGCGUGCCUAAUACAUGCAAGUCGAGCGAACGGACGAGAAGCUUGCUUCUCUGAUGUUAGCGGCGGACGGGUGAGUAACACGUGGAUAACCUACCUAUAAGACUGGGAUAACUUCGGGAAACCGUAGCUAAUACCGGAUAAUAUUUUGAACCGCAUGGUUCAAAAGUGAAAGACGGUCUUGCUGUCACUUAUAGAUGGAUCCGCGCUGCAUUAGCUAGUUGGUAAGGUAACGGCUUACCAAGGCAACGAUGCAUAGCCGACCUGAGAGGGUGAUCGCCCAACGGGGAACUGGGACCGGGUCCAGCUCCCUAGGGGAGGCAGCAGGAGGGAAUCUUCCGCAAUGGGCGAAAGCCUGACGGAGAAACGCCGGGGGGGUGAUGAAGGGUUUCGGAUCGUAAAACCCUUUUAUUGGGGAAAAAAAAAGGUGAAAGUAACUGUGAACAUCUGGACGGUACCAAAUCAAAAAACCACGGCUAACUACGU
This 496-nucleotide ribosomal RNA is filed under the name uncultured bacterium. Its description in RNAcentral is "partial 16S ribosomal RNA". It matches the Rfam family "Bacterial small subunit ribosomal RNA", at positions 28 to 506 of the family's 1533-position model. The record is from RNAcentral.